Molecule: long non-coding RNA, 75 nt
Organism: Oxyura jamaicensis (ruddy duck)
Lineage: Eukaryota; Metazoa; Chordata; Aves; Anseriformes; Anatidae
Exons: 3
Source: RefSeq, a predicted model, not a curated record
UCUGAAUCAAAAGGAUUUUUACUUCUGCCCUAGCUCAAACCCAGGAAGGGGAUAUUGCAAUUAUCCCAACGCGUC